GAAGCCAACGAUCCGACCCGCAUUAACCGCCUGACCACCGGCGUGUUUGAAAUGGGAUCGACAUUCAAAUCGCUGACCCUCGCCAUGGCGCUCGAUUCCGGCCGCGCCACCAUCAACACGCUCUACGAUGCGCGCGCGCCGCUGACCUACGGCAAGUUCAAGAUCCACGAUACCCACAAUCUUGGACGCUCCGUUCCGAUGUGGGAGGUGUUCACCGAAUCCUCCAACGUCGGCGCGGCGCGUGUCGCGCUGUCGAUGGGCGUCGAGGCGCACAAGGCGUUCCUGCGCAAGCUCGG
Molecule: unclassified non-coding RNA, 296 nt
Filed under: Hevea brasiliensis (rubber tree)
Lineage: Eukaryota; Viridiplantae; Streptophyta; Magnoliopsida; Malpighiales; Euphorbiaceae
Source: RNAcentral